UACGUAGGUGGCAAGCGUUGUCCGGAUUUACUGGGCGUAAAGAGCGCGCAGGCGGUCGUUCAAGUCGCGUGUGAAAGCCCCCGGCUCAACUGGGGAGGGUCACGCGAUACUGAUCGACUCGAAGGCAGGAGAGGGUAGUGGAAUUCCCGGUGUAGUGGUGAAAUGCGUAGAUAUCGGGAGGAACACCAGUGGCGAAGGCGACUACCUGGCCUGUUUCUUGACGUUGAGGCGCGAAAGCUAGGGGAGCAAACGGG
Molecule: ribosomal RNA, 254 nt
Filed under: uncultured bacterium
Lineage: Bacteria
Description: partial 16S ribosomal RNA
Rfam family: Bacterial small subunit ribosomal RNA
Source: RNAcentral